This 362-nucleotide ribosomal RNA is filed under the name uncultured bacterium. RNAcentral's name for it is "bacterial SSU rRNA". It matches the Rfam family "Bacterial small subunit ribosomal RNA", at positions 30 to 395 of the family's 1533-position model. The record is from RNAcentral.
AUUGAACGCUGGCGGCAUGCCUUACACAUGCAAGUCGAACGGCAGCGCGGGGCAACCUGGCGGCGAGUGGCGAACGGGUGAGUAAUAUAUCGGAACGUGCCCUAGAGUGGGGGAGUAACGUAGCGAAGUUACGCUAAUACCGCAUACGAUCUACGGAUGAAAGUGGGGGAGUCGCAAGACCUCAUGCUCGUGGAGCGGCCGAUAUCUGAUUAGCUAGUUGGAGGGUAAAGCCUACCAAGGCAUCGAUCAGUAGCUGGUCUGAGAGGACGACCAGCCACACUGGGACUGAGACACGGCCCAGACUCCUACGGGAGGCAGCAGUGGGGAAUUUUGGACAAUGGGGGCAACCCUGAUCCAGCAAU